RNAcentral lists this ribosomal RNA (253 nucleotides) under uncultured bacterium. Its description in RNAcentral is "partial 16S ribosomal RNA". It matches the Rfam family "Bacterial small subunit ribosomal RNA", at positions 524 to 776 of the family's 1533-position model. The record is from RNAcentral.
UACAGAGGGUGCAAGCGUUGUUCGGAAUUAUUGGGCGUAAAGGGCGCGUAGGCGGUGCCACAAGUCACCUGUGAAAUCUCCGGGCUUAACUCGGAGCCUGCAGGCGAAACUGUGGUGCUGGAGUAUGGGAGAGGUGCGUGGAAUUCCCGGUGUAGCGGUGAAAUGCGCAGAUAUCAGGAGGAACACCGGUGGCGAAGGCGGGUCUCUGGGCCGAUACUGACGCUGAGGAGCGAAAGCGUGGGGAGCGAACAGG